Molecule: ribosomal RNA, 502 nt
Filed under: Porphyra umbilicalis (laver)
Lineage: Eukaryota; Rhodophyta; Bangiophyceae; Bangiales; Bangiaceae
Description: SSU rRNA
Rfam family: Eukaryotic small subunit ribosomal RNA
Source: RNAcentral
UUAAAUCCCUUAUCGAGGAUCCAUUGGAGGGCAAGUCUGGUGCCAGCAGCCGCGGUAAUUCCAGCUCCAAUAGCGUAUAUUAAAGUUGUUGCAGUWAAAACGCUCGUAGUCGGAUUUCGAAGCACGCUCACGGGGGCGGUUUUUGCUGUUUCUGUGAGGGUGUCUUCUUUUUCUGGGACGCGUUGUGCGGGACUUGAUUGUCUCUGCACAUCUGCGGGCCGGACGUUUACUGUGAAGAAAUUAGGGUGUUCAAAGCARGCGUUUGSUAUGAAUACGUGAGCAUGGAAUAAUAGAAUAGGACUUGACCUCUAUUUUGUUGGUUUCCGGAGAACAAGUAAUGAUUAAUAGGGACAGUUGGGGGCAUUCGUAUUUCAUUGUCAGAGGUGAAAUUCUUGGAUUGAUGGAAGACGAACAACUGCGAAAGCAUCUGCCAAGGAUGUUUUCAUUGAUCAAGAACGAAAGUUAGGGGAUCGAAGACGAUCAGAUACCGUCGURRUCUUAA